This 504-nucleotide ribosomal RNA is filed under the name uncultured bacterium. RNAcentral's name for it is "partial 16S ribosomal RNA". It matches the Rfam family "Bacterial small subunit ribosomal RNA", at positions 30 to 523 of the family's 1533-position model. The record is from RNAcentral.
AUUGAACGCUGGCGGCAGGCCUAACACAUGCAAGUCGAACGGUAGCACAGAGAGCUUGCUCUCGGGUGACGAGUGGCGGACGGGUGAGUAAUGUCUGGGAAACUGCCCGAAGGAGGGGGAUAACUACUGGAAACGGUAGCUAAUCCCGCAUAACGUCGCAAGCACAAAGUGGGGGACCUUCGGGCCUCACACCUUUGGAUGUGCCCAGAUGGGAUUAGCUAGUAGGUGGGGUAAUGGCUCACCUAGGCGACGAUCCCUAGCUGGUCUGAGAGGAUGACCAGCCUCACUGGAACUGAGACACGGUCCAGACUCCUACGGGAGGCAGCAGUUGGGAAUAUUGCACAAUGGGCGCAAGCCUGAUGCAGCCAUGCCGCGUGUAUGAAGAAGGCCUUCGGGUUGUAAAGUACUUUCAGCGGGGAGGAAGGCGGUGGAGUUAAUAACUUCACCGAUUGACGUUACCCGCAGAAGAAGCACCGGCUAACUCCGUGCCAGCCGCCGCGGUAA